CGUGAAAUGGUAAAAAAAAAAGAGGGGCUUAGAAAAUUUACCUCAGGGACGAAGGUCAUGGUGGCUGUGGGUGCCGCCAUUGAGACUUGGAAGACGGUGCGAUCGAUGAAGAAUGGGAGGAAGUCACCGGAGUGCACUGGAAUGCACUUGGAUGCGGGACAAGCGAGGGUGCUGGAGUGUGUUGGGAGACAAUUUGCCACGAAGGAAACCCUUUUCGCCCGGAGGAAGAAGAAGUGGUGGAAGAGAUGAGUAUCUGGGGGAUGGCUCGAGAGAGGAGUAAAUGUGGAAUUUUUACCACACCAUCUGUGCUAAUUUCGAAAAGAGCGGUUGCAUGUGGGUGCUCUGUUCGAAAAAAUGCAAUUGUC
RNAcentral lists this long non-coding RNA (365 nucleotides) under Setaria viridis. RNAcentral describes it as "long non-coding RNA (SVIR_LNC010910)". The record is from RNAcentral. Lineage: Eukaryota; Viridiplantae; Streptophyta; Magnoliopsida; Poales; Poaceae.